This is a long non-coding RNA of Chenopodium quinoa (quinoa), 2719 nucleotides long. RefSeq lists it as uncharacterized. NCBI's taxonomy places the organism in Eukaryota, Viridiplantae, Streptophyta, Magnoliopsida, Caryophyllales, Amaranthaceae. The transcript has 3 exons. The record is from RefSeq and is a predicted model, not a curated record.
UGACUAACGAACUAUUCUUUAUGAAAAUACCAUGAUCUAUAUUGUAAAUUGAUCAGACCCAAUACCAUGAUUUUAUUACUUGCUUUAUUUCUCCUUACGCGGAGUUUUAGGAGGAAUAAUUGAAAGUAAUAUAAUAUGAUGGAAGUGGGGUAAGUUGAAGAAUAAAAUAAAAAUCUAAAAAAGCAAAAUUGAGUGUAAGUGGGGAGGAGAGAAAAUAUGAAAAAUAUUAAUAUAGUAAAAUAUUACUUUGUAUUAAAAGUUUCCAAAAAAAAAGGGAAAUGGAGCAAGUAAUAAAAUGUGGCUGCUAAAAGAAAGUGUAGCAAGUAAUAAAAUACAGAGGAGUAGUAAACAUUACUUUCCAUGAAUGUAUUGAAUUGAUUGAUUGGAAUUUUAGGAUAAGUUUUUUUUUUUUUUUUAGUGUAUGACCCAGCCGUUGCACGGGUUGCUACUUUAACACAUAAUGUUAGUACAAAAAAACGGAUUUAGAUAGAAUAAUUUUCCCUUGUCUUGGAAUUGUUAAAGCUAUUCUCUUUAUUCAUUUUUUAUAAGCUACAUAAUUUUUUUUUCUUAUCCAUUAUUGUGCUUAGUUAAAGAUAUAUGUAUUUUUUAUAUGGAUGACAUAAAUUAUUAUUGGGUAAGACGUGGCGCAAUGCUUGUUAAUGAUGACGUGGACAUGUGGUGCAAUGUUAGUGCAGAUCUACUUGUUACAUUAACAAUUUUAGGCACGCUUUUAAACAUAGAAUAGAUUAGAAUAAGUUCAAAACUAAUAAAAUAAAAUUAGUAAAACAUAUCCUUAAUUAACCGAAUUCCAACACAAAAAGGAAUUUAUUGAACUAGUUUGAUUCGGUAUCGGAAAGCAACUUUAACUCUACGCUAUAUAUAAAUAAAAGUAGAACUAGCCUUGGUUAAAAAUUUAGAGAGAUAAGAGAAUCAGAGAUCGUCGCAGCACUACAAGUUUCGUGAAAUCUUUCUCCGUUGUAAGUUUAUUCUAUUUUAUUUAAUUUAUUUUGAAGUAUUCAUAGUGAUUUUAUUUUUUUUUUAAUUUUUUUUUAUUAUUUUUUUUUUAUAUAUGCAUUCAUGUUUUUUACCCAUGUUUCUUAGAUUGCCUUAGGUUUUCAUCGUUAUACAAGUAUAAUUUUUUUUUACAUGCUACGUUUCUUCUAGUCAUGCUUUUUAUUACGGAGUAAUGUGAUUCUAUGUAAUUAAUUUGGCUAUUUCUGGACGGUGGCUAGGGUUUUUUUUUUAAGUGAUUUGAUUUUGGCUAUUGCUAGAGGGUGACUAUAGUUUUAAGUGAUACUAUGAACUUAUAGUAUAGAUGAUUCUAAUAAGAUUCCAUUAUAUAUAUAUAUACUUAUUAACUUAUAUAUUAAUCACAAAAGAUAAUAUAGUAAUGAUCCUAGACUUAAUACAUUGUAACUAAGAAAGUAUAGUAGGGCGAGGCCGCUUAAGUGAAUGAAAUAUAUUGUCUAUUGUUGAAGAAUGAUGAUUUAUGUAACACUUUGCAUUUUAUGAAUUUGAUAAAGGAAUAUGUGGACUUUGGAAGGGCAAAAAAGGUAUAAAAUUAUUGUUUAAGUGGUACAUUCUGCUUGUAAUAUGGUAUUUAAUUGAAGUUUAAAUUUGAAUUCAUAACCAUUCAAAAACAGGUUGAUGGUAGUUUGAAAGAUUUGGCUUCCUCUGACACUGAGUGAUGGGGAAGAAGAUCGUAUCAGUGAGCUUCCACAUAAGGUUACGUCUCAUAUGCUGUCAUUGCGUGAUGUAGCAAGAAUGGCUACAUUAUCAACAAAGUGGAGAAAGUUGUCCUCCCUUGACUUGGAUUGGCGGGUAAUGUCUGGUAUGCCUAUAAUAGAGUGUCAUAGCAAAUAUGCGUGGAUGCUUGGAGAUGUUGUGUGUUUCCUGAGUUUCAUCCUAUCACUAGUUCCUUUCUUUCGCGAUUCUGUUAUCUCAAGGAGUUGUGUCUGGACUCUUGCAUUUUGAGGCUUGAUAAUAAUGAACUUGGAUUUCAUAACUUAACAACCCUUGAUCUUUGUAAUGUUAUUCUAGAGGGGAUUGAAUGGCAGGACAUUCUUUCUACUUUGUUGGAGACAAUAACAACUUCCGGUGUCUGAGUUUCCUCAGGAUUGAAGAAUGUCCAAAUUUGCAACAACUUCAACUUCAAGACCUUUGAGUUUUCAAUUCUGGUGAAGAAGCUCUCGAGUGCUCUUUCUUAAAUGUUCCCAAUCUUGAAACUGUCAAUUUCAACUUGCUCGGAAAAAAUAAUAAAGCACACGGUCUUCUCAAAAGUCUUGCAGUUAAUGUCUCUGGCCUAAAAAAUCUGGUCCUUGGAGAGUAUUCUCUGAUGCUGGAUUAUUAUUUCAGUCAGUUUUGAGUUUACAUGUCAACAUGAAAUGUGAUAGUGGCAAGUAUGUAGCGAAAGCUCUUCCUCGUCUUCUUGAAAAAGCUUGAGAUAGAGUUACCUCUUCAUCGAUGUUGCAAGAACUAUCAACUUCCGGCAGCUACGUGUGUCCAUUCCAAUCUGAAUGAGUUCGAAUUGAUUUCUUUCCGUGUAGCAUUGAUACCGAUUGCUACGUAUUUAUUGAAGAGUGGUGUAAUGUUAGAUCGUAUGGUACCUAACUAAAUCUGCCAAGGAUCUUAACAAUGGCCAAGAAUUUAACUAAUGUUGAAGUCUUCAUUAAUUAACUUUGUUGAUAUUAUACAGUAUUGAUUAGGCAACGGUUAAUAA